GUCUACAGCCAUGCCACCCUGAACAAGCCUGAAGUCUGAUCUCGGAAGCUAAUAAGCAGGAUCGGGCCUGGUUAGUACUUGGAUGGGAAACUACCUAGGAAGCCCAGGUGCUGUAGGCA
Molecule: ribosomal RNA, 119 nt
Filed under: Pteropus alecto (black flying fox)
Lineage: Eukaryota; Metazoa; Chordata; Mammalia; Chiroptera; Pteropodidae
Source: RNAcentral